This is a small nuclear RNA of Cynocephalus volans (Philippine flying lemur), 110 nucleotides long. The record is from RefSeq and is a predicted model, not a curated record. NCBI's taxonomy places the organism in Eukaryota, Metazoa, Chordata, Mammalia, Dermoptera, Cynocephalidae.
GUGCUGUCUUUGACAGCACAUACACUGAAAUUGAAAUGACACAGAGAAGACUAGCACGGCCAUGCACAAAGAUGAUACACAAAUUUGUGAACAUCGUUCUCCCUUAUUUU